Molecule: non-coding RNA, 218 nt
Organism: Pelobates cultripes (western spadefoot toad)
Lineage: Eukaryota; Metazoa; Chordata; Amphibia; Anura; Pelobatidae
Source: the annotation of a GenBank genome assembly
CCAUAAGACUGACAAGCAUUCCAAAUGGUGUCCUGAUAGCAAAAUAGCGCGAGCAAUGCCGGGGAGCCUUAUUCCCAAUCACGCUCACGAAGAUGGAGAACGCCCGAACCCAGUUCCUAUAGCGAAACGUCUCCUUAUGCGUGUCCGACUCCUUGCCAUCCUUGUCUCCCAGAGGAGGGACGUCCUCCAAGGGUAACAGGGAAAAUAUCUCUACAAAU